GUGAAUCAUCGAAUUUUUGAACGCAAAUUGCACUCUCCUCUGUUAGUAUGCCCGUGUGAGGUUCAGCCUCUUAAAAAUCUACAUCGCUGCUGUUUCGCGGUGGCGUUCGUCGGAAAUUGGGUCAUCCUAAACCUUUUGGUUUUAAGCGACUUAAAAUUUCCUUUUUGGUUCUAUGAACGUCUCUAAGAU
This 189-nucleotide unclassified non-coding RNA is filed under the name Glomus sp. RNAcentral describes it as "partial internal transcribed spacer 2". The record is from RNAcentral. Lineage: Eukaryota; Fungi; Glomeromycota; Glomeromycetes; Glomerales; Glomeraceae.